This 441-nucleotide ribosomal RNA is filed under the name uncultured bacterium. RNAcentral's name for it is "partial 16S ribosomal RNA". It matches the Rfam family "Bacterial small subunit ribosomal RNA", at positions 338 to 795 of the family's 1533-position model. The record is from RNAcentral.
CCUACGGGUGGCUGCAGUGGGGAAUAUUGCGCAAUGGGGGCAACCCUGACGCAGCAACGCCGCGUGAUUGAAGAAGGCCUUCGGGUUUUAAAGAUCUUUAAUCGGGGACGAAUUUUGACGUUACCCGAAGAAUUAGCUCCUGCUAACUACGUCCCAGCAGCCGCGGUAAUACGUAGGGAGCAAGCGUUAUCAGGAUUUACUGGGUGUAAAGGGCGUUUAGGCGGGCAGGCAAGCCAGAAGUGAAAUCUGGGGGCUUAACCCCCAAACUGCUUUUGGAACUGCGUGUCUUGAGUGAUGGAGAGGCAGGCGGAAUUCCGAGUGUAGCGGGGAAAUGCGUAGAUAUUGGGAGGAACACCAGUGGCGAAGGCGGCCUGCUGGACAUUAACUGACGCUGAGGCGCGAAAGCGUGGGGAGCAAACAGGAUUAGAGACCCGAGUAGUC